This 132-nucleotide small RNA is filed under the name Escherichia coli. Its description in RNAcentral is "RtT sRNA". It matches the Rfam family "RtT RNA". Rfam says of the family: This family represents a bacterial cis-regulatory element known as RtT RNA. The exact function of RtT is unknown although it is thought that it may be involved in changing the cellular response in relation to amino acid starvation. Lineage: Bacteria; Pseudomonadati; Pseudomonadota; Gammaproteobacteria; Enterobacterales; Enterobacteriaceae. The record is from RNAcentral.
GUUUGCACUCAUCGAGGAAGGGUGAGAACCUUCGACUAAGGUUCGAUUCGAGCGAAAGCGAGAGAACGUUGCCACAGGCAACGGCCCGAAGGGUGAGGAGCGAAGCGACGAAUAAUCCUUCCCCCACCACCA